This 484-nucleotide ribosomal RNA is filed under the name uncultured bacterium. RNAcentral's name for it is "partial 16S ribosomal RNA". It matches the Rfam family "Bacterial small subunit ribosomal RNA", at positions 30 to 507 of the family's 1533-position model. The record is from RNAcentral.
AUUGAACGCUGGCGGCAGGCCUAACACAUGCAAGUCGAGCGGAUGAAGGGAGCUUGCUCCUGGAUUCAGCGGCGGACGGGUGAGUAAUGCCUAGGAAUCUGCCUGGUAGUGGGGGAUAACGUCCGGAAACGGGCGCUAAUACUGCAUACGUCCUGAGGGAGAAAGUGGGGGAUCUUCGGACCUCACGCUAUCAGAUGAGCCUAGGUCGGAUUAGCUAGUUGGUGGGGUAAAGGCCUACCAAGGCGACGAUCCGUAACUGGUCUGAGAGGAUGAUCAGUCACACUGGAACUGAGACACGGUCCAGACUCCUACGGGAGGCAGCAGUGGGGAAUAUUGGACAAUGGGCGAAAGCCUGAUCCAGCCAUGCCGCGUGUGUGAAGAAGGUCUUCGGGUUGUAAAGCACUUUAAGUUGGGAGGAAGGGCAGUAAGUUAAUACCUUGCUGUUUUGACGUUACCAACAGAAUAAGCACCGGCUAACUUCGUG